CGGCUUCAACAGGCCGCACUUCCGGCAGCCCUGCGGAAUCUUUCGGUGCAGACCUGGAGCCUCAGCGUGGUGGCUUCUCCCGUCCCUGUCGCUCCGGGCUGCGGGGCUCUGCCCCGGCGGGUCCCUUCCUUGCUUCAGUGGGUGCCACCCCCUCCGAGGCGUGGCUUCUCGUUGUUGUGCCCCAGACCGGGCAAGGGCCUGGCGGUGGUUGCCCGCGUGAUGGUGACCGCUUGUUCCUCCACCUGCUCUGCUGUUUACGGACUCCAGGGGCGGGUUUAAGCCGCGCGCCUAGGAAGGCCAUGGGCGGCGCAGACCCCCAGCCCGGGGGGAGACUUAGGCAGCCAGGACUGGAGUACCCGAGGAGUAUGGUUCGGCGACUUGAAGAAGCGAUUGGGAGCUGGAGGAAGAGCUGGCAGUCUCCCGUCUCCUGAUACACAGCCCCUGCCUCCCCAAGGACGGGCCAUUGCCCUUCCGUCUGGCGCGUGUGGCCUGGGGCUCCGAGGCUCUCAAGAAGAGUUCAAGACGGGAAGGACAGGACGGCCCAGAGGCGUCGGGGAAGGCGUGCGGCGGAGCCGGUGCCCUGUCCGUGGUGGUGGAGAAGAGGUAUGGACCAAUCCCCUCAGGACCCCUGACUGCUCUUGGUGAAGAAGAAAUCAGAGGCCAAAUCUGGACUUAUAGGGGUGCACCUGAAAUUUUUGGUGCUUUCGGUGCGUUGUUAGAGUACUGAGCUGAAACUGUCCUUUUGAAGCUGUGGUGCCGGAGUCCAGCUCUAGCCAAGGGGUGGGAUGCCCGAAGGUGCAGGACGGAGUCAGCGAAACAGUGAGGGAAAAUUAGGAGUCAGACAUGGAGUCAAGCUGGAAUCAUCUCCUAGUCACAGCUCCUAGUGAGUGUGCCAGUAGUGGUUUUAUUUAUAUGAUUAUUUCCAGACAUUUACCCUUUGAUCAAUAAUAUUACAAUCUUUAUUUAUCCUUUGAUCAGUGAUGAUACAAUCUUAUUUCCUUUCUUUCAUAUUCCAGGUGACUACCCUUAAUUGCAGACAGCUGACAUCUCUAUUUCCUGAUUCAUGCAAUUCUUAGUAUGAUUAUUUUUGGACACUAUCUCAUUUUUAUGCAGAGCAUGUUCACCAGAAUACAUGAUGGGAAAAGGACAGGUGCAAGAGUUCAAUCAAAGUUCACUGACUAAUAAUUCACAUUACAAUUCUCAUCUUCUAAAGGCCUAAUACAAUAAAUACAUUUAAUUUUUCUGUACCAUUUAUUCCACGUUUCUGUCCACACUUUAUGUGCUUGACGUGUCCAAAGACACUAAGGUUUCUUUCCUCUUUUAAUCCUUUCCCAUGAGACAGAACCAAGUCAAACCAUCUUAUAAUCAAUCCACUAUUACAAAUUCAUAUCUUCAUCAUAUACUCCUUCAUAGGGUACUGUGGGUAACAAAGUAAACUUCUCUAUAUUGCUCAUGAAUUUUCUUCCUCUAGGGAGAUACCAAAAUCUUCCUCCUAUGAGAUAAGCGGGGCCAUGUGGUCCUGCUACAGUGGGAACAGCUCUAUUUAUUUUAUCUAGGCCUUUAUUAGCCUCUUGCAUCGGGGCUUUUCCAAGAGCCUGGAUCCAUGAUUUCCUUAUGCUGGAUUUUCUUAAAGAAUUCCUCAUUACACACAUUAGUGCUAUUACAAAACGGAGGGCAUAAUUCUUGAGGCUUUCCUGUAAUUAUUAACCUUUUACUUUGUUCUUUCUGCAUCUCAUUUUCUUUCUGUGUUCCAUUAUGUUCCUUAGAAAUAUUCUGCAAACCUGCUGGGAAAUCAGUGUCCCCAUCAGUUAUGGUUAACUUAUCAAAGGAAAAUUAAGCUCUGGGUAUGAAUACAGGAAUAAAAAGUCCAGAAGGAGGCUGUCUAGGCCCUGCGAUUCCAACAGGUCUCUAGGUUACCCCUUUAUUUCUUAUUGACCAUCUUAAUGUUACCAACCCAAAUUUUGGGUUCUUUUGCCUGGCAUCAUUUACUCGCAAGACUGGGUUCAGUUUAGCAGAGCAGAAACUUCAGUCUCUGGGCAAAGAACAGAGAAGGGUGAGUUUUCCAAAUGCCACCUUCUUCCAGAAGGGAGGAAAGUGAGGAUUUCUUGAGGGGUGAGGGGGCAUGGGUGGUAGGAGCACCAUCUCAACCUCAAGAAGAGGACAGAGUCCCGGAACUGCUGGAGCGUGUGCAGUCCUUCAGGCUUCUUUGUGCUGGCCUGAAAUGUGCCUAGCAAGGGGCACCUCUCUCCCCAGGGCGAGGAUUUUAGUAUUAAAAUGAAGGUAUAAUGAGCUGGAAGUAGGUUAAAGGUGAAGCUCAGCCAGCUUCUUCAGUUUUCCUGAUUCCAGCUGGUUCUGUGUUUGGCCUUCCUGGUGGUUAUCACCGACCUGGCUCGGUUCCUAUAAGCAAGCCCAGCUUCAGAUAAAAUUCUUAGCUUUUAGUUCUUUUGUUAUCUUAUUCAUAAGCAGACUUGGGUGACAAUUUUUCCUCCUCUAUGUCCCGCUGUUCAUUCUUGAGGGGCAAUGGAUGAAGGUCCAUCUCACCUGGCCCUGGAUGGCAAGCUCACUACAUACGUGUUGAGCCAUGCAUUGUCAUUGACUUUAUAUAAAGAACCCUGCCCAGUGCUCUGUGCCACUUGGUGGCACAGCUACAAGGCUGCAGGAGAGCAGAGCAGAGGCUGGAGUGGUGGCAGCACCGAGGACAGAGGGCAAGAGGACAGCUCUGCAGGUAGAGGGGCCCAGAGGCAGAGACCAGCUUGCUGCGUGCAGACUUGCUCUGAGUGAACAGGAUUUUAGUGACUGACCUGCCAUCGUGGAAAUAAAGUUGGGUAUGACCCUUU
Manis javanica (Malayan pangolin) is the source of this 2837-nucleotide long non-coding RNA. RefSeq lists it as uncharacterized. Lineage: Eukaryota; Metazoa; Chordata; Mammalia; Pholidota; Manidae. The record is from RefSeq and is a predicted model, not a curated record.